RNAcentral lists this transfer RNA (73 nucleotides) under Bos taurus (domestic cattle). It matches the Rfam family "tRNA". Rfam says of the family: Transfer RNA (tRNA) molecules are approximately 80 nucleotides in length. Their secondary structure includes four short double-helical elements and three loops (D, anti-codon, and T loops). RNAcentral also lists the same sequence under 2 other names. The record is from Rfam by way of RNAcentral. Lineage: Eukaryota; Metazoa; Chordata; Mammalia; Artiodactyla; Bovidae.
UCCCUGGUUGUCCAGUGGUUAGGGCUCUACAUUUCCCCUGCAGCAGACACAGGUUCGAUUCCUGGUCUGGGAA